GCCCCGGUAGCUUAGCCUGGUUAGAGCGCCGCCCUGGUAAGGCGGAGAACCCGGGUUCAAAGCCCGGCCGGGGCU
This 75-nucleotide transfer RNA is filed under the name Thermoprotei archaeon. RNAcentral describes it as "tRNA-Thr". It matches the Rfam family "tRNA". From Rfam's summary of the family: Transfer RNA (tRNA) molecules are approximately 80 nucleotides in length. Lineage: Archaea; Thermoproteati; Thermoproteota; Thermoprotei. The record is from RNAcentral.